RNAcentral lists this unclassified non-coding RNA (398 nucleotides) under Hevea brasiliensis (rubber tree). The record is from RNAcentral. Lineage: Eukaryota; Viridiplantae; Streptophyta; Magnoliopsida; Malpighiales; Euphorbiaceae.
GGAAUUCUGAAGCUAGUAAAUCCAGUUAUCCAGUCCCUUCAUCUCAAGUAGAUGAUAGGGUGCUCAAUGCUGAGAAAGAACAUGACAGUGUUCUAAAAAAGCCAGAAUCUGGAUCCAAGAGUGCUAGCAGUUGUACAGUUGCAAGUAUGACUGAGAACCACCACAAUGUUACUCCUGCAGUUCUGGAGACUAGACCUAGUAGUACAUCAACUGGAGAUGAUGAUAUAGAAAUGGUGGACAUUUCUACUUCAAAUGCCUGACCGAAAAGAAGAUAGGUUCUUAGGUUGUUCGUAUAGAUGAAGGUCAGUAAGUACUUUUGUUGGGUAGCUCCUAGACUCUGUUGUAAUCGAAAAAUUCAUUUUCCAAGUUGCUAAGUGGGUUAUGUAAAAUGAGAUUCA